This 286-nucleotide ribosomal RNA is filed under the name Intestinibacter bartlettii DSM 16795. RNAcentral's name for it is "partial 16S rRNA. Bacterial SSU". It matches the Rfam family "Bacterial small subunit ribosomal RNA", at positions 19 to 314 of the family's 1533-position model. Lineage: Bacteria; Bacillati; Bacillota; Clostridia; Peptostreptococcales; Peptostreptococcaceae. The record is from RNAcentral.
CUGGCUCAGGAUGAACGCUGGCGGCGUGCCUAACACAUGCAAGUCGAGCGAUUCUCUUCGGAGAAGAGCGGCGGACGGGUGAGUAACGCGUGGGUAACCUGCCCUGUACACACGGAUAACAUACCGAAAGGUAUGCUAAUACGGGAUAACAUAAGAAAUUCGCAUGUUUUUCUUAUCAAAGCUCCGGCGGUACAGGAUGGACCCGCGUCUGAUUAGCUAGUUGGUGAGGUAACGGCUCACCAAGGCGACGAUCAGUAGCCGACCUGAGAGGGUGAUCGGCCACAUU